CAGGGGAGCGCGGGAUCCUGGGCUGUGUCCCCGGCGCCCUGGGAUGGGGGCCUGCGCUGCUGGCAUCGCGCUCCGGGGCCGCGGCUCCUG
This 90-nucleotide microRNA precursor is filed under the name Canis lupus dingo (dingo). Its description in RNAcentral is "mir-8799 microRNA precursor family". It matches the Rfam family "mir-8799 microRNA precursor family". Lineage: Eukaryota; Metazoa; Chordata; Mammalia; Carnivora; Canidae. The record is from Rfam by way of RNAcentral.